Molecule: ribosomal RNA, 231 nt
Filed under: Aspergillus sp. BAB-2165
Lineage: Eukaryota; Fungi; Ascomycota; Eurotiomycetes; Eurotiales; Aspergillaceae
Description: partial 28S ribosomal RNA
Rfam family: Eukaryotic large subunit ribosomal RNA
Source: RNAcentral
CCCAGACCGAUAGCGAACAAGUAGAGUGAUCGAAAGAUGAAAAGCACUUUGAAAAGAGAGUUAAACAGCACGUGAAAUUGUUGAAAGGGAAGCGUUUGCGACCAGACUCGCCCGCGGGGUUCAGCCGGCAUUCGUGCCGGUGUACUUCCCCGUGGGCGGGCCAGCGUCGGUUUGGGCGGCCGGUCAAAGGCCCUCGGAAUGUAUCACCUCUCGGGGUGUCUUAUAGCCGAG